Molecule: non-coding RNA, 363 nt
Organism: Gymnodraco acuticeps
Lineage: Eukaryota; Metazoa; Chordata; Actinopteri; Perciformes; Bathydraconidae
Source: the annotation of a RefSeq genome assembly
AUGGACAGACUGAUUCUGCUGACAGCCCUCUGUCUGCCCUCUUUGAAUGGCCAAACUCUGGAGUCCAUCCCCUCCACUGCAGUGCCAGCCUCUGUGACUGUGCAGCCAGGUCAACGUCUGACCAUCACCUGUCAGGUCUCUUAUUCUCUUAGCAGCUACUUCACAGCCUGGAUCAGACAGCCUGCAGGGAAAGGACUGGAGUGGAUUGGUAGCAAAUACACUGGAGAAACAUACUACAAAGAUUCACUGAAGAGCAAGUUCAGUAUCGACUUAGACUCUUCCAGCAACACAGUGACUCUGAACGGACAGAGCGUGCAGCCUGGAGACUCUGCUGUGUAUUACUGUGCCAGAGACACACUGUGA